GAGGGUAUAGCUCAGUGGUUGAGUGUGUGCUUAGCAUGCACGAGGUCCUGGGUUCAAGCCCCAGCACCUCCA
Molecule: transfer RNA, 72 nt
Filed under: Camelus bactrianus (Bactrian camel)
Lineage: Eukaryota; Metazoa; Chordata; Mammalia; Artiodactyla; Camelidae
Also listed under: 3 other names
Rfam family: tRNA
About the family: Transfer RNA (tRNA) molecules are approximately 80 nucleotides in length.
Source: Rfam by way of RNAcentral